CCUACACCGUGCACAUUGGAUGUGAUUAUGGAGGAAGAGGAGGAAGAGCCGUCCACAGCCCCCACUCCUACACCAUGCACAUUGGGUGUGAUUAUGGAGGAAGAGGAGGAAGAGCCGUCCACAGCCCCCACACCUACACCAUGCACAUUGGGUGUGAUUAUGGAGGAAGAGACAUCCACAUCCCCCACUCCUACACCGUGCACAUUGGGUGUGAUUAUGGAGGAAGAGGAGGAAGAGCCGUCCACAGCCCCCACUCCUACACCAUGCACAUUGGGUGUGAUUAUGGAGGAAGAGGAGGAAGAGCCGUCCACAGCCCCCACUCCUACACCAUGCACAUUGGGUGUGAUUAUGGAGGAAGAGGAGGAAGAGACAUCCACAGCCCUCACUCGUACACCUCGCACAUUGGGAGUGAUUAUGGAGGAAGAGACGUCCACAUCCCCCACUCCUACACCUCACACAUUGGGUGUGAUUAUGGAGGAAGAGGAGGAAAAGACGUCCACAGCCCCCACACCUACACCUUGCACAUUGGGUGUGAUUAUGGAGGAAGAGGCAGAAGAGACCCCCACAGUCCCAACUCCUACACCUCUCACAGGGGGUGAGAUUAUGGAGAAAUAGGAGGCAGAGACACCCACAGUCCCAGCUCCUACACCUUUAACGUGGGCUGAUAUAGUGAAAAAGUUUGCGAGUCCGACUGAGGAGGUUAAAAAGAAGAAGCUCAGAGAGUUCAAGAAGACGCAGGCUUCCAGCCAGUGGCUGCCAGAUCAACCAGUGGCUGCCGAAACCAAGAAGUUCCCCGUGGACAAGUCUCACCACAACAAAAACACCAAGGUGAUGAUGGAGAAUGGCUGCUUGAAAGGAUUUGGCUUCAUUCAUUUUUCAUCUUCAACGGAAGCCAUGGUGGCCAUUAAAGGAGUGAAUGGGAAAAUGUUGGGCAAGAAGCUGGUGCAUGUAGCUCUCUCUAAGAGCAGAGAGGAGCGCAAGCCUUACCUCGCCCAGGAAGUGCAGAGGGCGUUCAGCAAUAUUAUUGAAUGUGUCUAUUCUUAAUAAAUAAAGCACAUUUAGAGACAAUACUUUUGAAUGCAAUAUUAUGAUCUAGAAUAAUGCAAUAAUAAUACAGUUUUGCAAUAAAUUUAUAUACCAAG
Ictalurus punctatus (channel catfish) is the source of this 1142-nucleotide long non-coding RNA. The record is from Ensembl. Lineage: Eukaryota; Metazoa; Chordata; Actinopteri; Siluriformes; Ictaluridae.